Molecule: long non-coding RNA, 461 nt
Organism: Bombus impatiens (common eastern bumble bee)
Lineage: Eukaryota; Metazoa; Arthropoda; Insecta; Hymenoptera; Apidae
Exons: 3
Source: RefSeq, a predicted model, not a curated record
CGUGAUUGGAUUGGACUGCACUACUGUCGCCGUUAUCUACGUAAUUCCUGGCAGCGUGAUUAUUAAAAUUAUGGAAGAUCACCCUUUCUAAAAAACGAUCACCGACGUUCCUGGAAACAAGAUUGUACUAUACUUUCUAAUUAUAGCAAGACGGCGAAAGGAUAAGAGAUAUAUAUAAAUGGAAACCACUGGAAUUUUCUUUCCGAUUAUGUGGGAUUUAUAAAUUGAUGAAUAAAACUGAAGAAAUACGUUGUUACUACUAACGUGGAUUUUUAUCCUAUUAUCUGGAAUAUCUGGAAGCACAGGAAUACACAGAAAUCGCGUUCCAUUUUUUCAUUUGUCAUCAUGAAAAUUUGCAUAAAUAUCCGUCAGCCUAACGAUCAUCAUAAUCGAAUCAUCAUAAUCAUCAUUAGAACACUACCAAAAUUUCAAAAUGUUUCAUACUUCAUAUGAACCAGCCU